GAGUUUGAUCCUGGCUCAGAACGUACGCUGGCGGCACGCCUAACACAUGCAAGUCGAACGAAGUAGCAAUACUUAGUGGCAGACGGGUGAGUAACAUGUAGGUAUCUGCCCUUUGGCCUGGAAUAACACGAGGAAACUUGUGCUAAUACCGGAUAAGUCUUUACGGAGAAAGCUUUAUGCACCAUUGGAUGAGCCUGCACUUGAUUAGUUUGUUGGUGGAGUAAUGGCCUACCAAGACUGUGAUCAAUAGCUGAUUUGAGAGGAUGAUCAGCCACAUUGGGACUGAGACACGGCCCAAACUCCUACGGGAGGCAGCAGUGGGGAAUCUUGCACAAUGGAGGAAACUCUGAUGCAGCGAUGCCGCGUGAGUGAAGAAGGCCCUUGGGUUGUAAAGCUCUUUCGUCGGGGAAGAAAAUGACUGUACCCGAAUAAGAAGGUCCGGCUAACUUCGUGCCAGCAGCCGCGGUAAUACGAAGGGACCUAGCGUAGUUCGGAAUUACUGGGCUUAAAGAGUUCGUAGGUGGUUGAAAAAGUUAGUGGUGAAAUCCCAGAGCUUAACUCUGGAACUGCCAUUAAAACUUUUCAGCUAGAGUAUGAUAGGGGAAAGCAGAAUUUCUAGUGUAGAGGUGAAAUUCGUAGAUAUUAGAAAGAAUACCAAUUGCGAAGGCAGCUUUCUGGAUCAUUACUGACACUGAGGAACGAAAGCAUGGGUAGCGAAGAGGAUUAGAUACCCUCGUAGUCCAUGCCGUAAACGAUGUGUGUUAGACGUUGGAAAUUUAUUUUCAGUGUCGCAGGGAAACCGAUAAACACACCGCCUGGGGAGUACGUCCGCAAGGUUAAAACUCAAAUGAAUUGACGGGGACCCGCACAAGUAGUGGAGCAUGUGGUUUAAUUCGAAGAUACGCGCAGAACCUUACCAACACUUGACAUGUUCGUCGCGACUCUAAGAGAUUAGAGUUUUCGGUUCGGCCGGACGAAACACAGGUGCUGCAUGGCUGUCGUCAGCUCGUGUCGUGAGAUGUUGGGUUAAGUCCCGCAACGAGCGCAGCCCUCACUUUUAGUUGCCAUCAUUAAGUUGGGCACUCUGAAAGAACUGCCAGUGAUAAGCUGGAGGAAGGUGGGGAUGACGUCAAGUCCUCAUGGCCCUUACGUGUUGGGCUACACACGUGCUACAAUGGUAUCUACAACAGGAAGCAAGACUGCGAAGUUAAGCAAAUCCCUAAAAGAUACCUCAGUUCGGAUUGCACUCUGCAACUCGAGUGCAUGAAGCUGGAAUUACUAGUAAUCGUGGAUCAGCGUGCCACGGUGAAUGCGUUCCCGGGUCUUGUACACACCGCCCGUCACACCAUGGGAGUUGGUUCUACCUUAAGGCAAGGUUUUAAACCCUUGACCACGGUAUAGUCAGCGACUGGGGUGAAGUCGUAACAAGGUAACC
Molecule: ribosomal RNA, 1435 nt
Filed under: uncultured marine bacterium
Lineage: Bacteria
Description: bacterial SSU rRNA
Rfam family: Bacterial small subunit ribosomal RNA
Source: RNAcentral